Molecule: ribosomal RNA, 442 nt
Filed under: uncultured bacterium
Lineage: Bacteria
Description: partial 16S ribosomal RNA
Rfam family: Bacterial small subunit ribosomal RNA
Source: RNAcentral
CCUACGGGAGGCAGCAGUAGGGAAUCUUUCACAAUGGGCGAAAGCCUGAUGGAGCAACGCCGCGUGCAGGAUGAAGGCAUUCGGGUUGUAAACUGCUUUUAUAAGCGAGAAAUAUGAUGGUAACUUAUGAAUAAGGAUCGGCUAACUACGUGCAAGCAGCCGCGGUCAUACGUAGGAUCCGAGCAUUAACCGGAGUGACUGGGUGGACAGAGUUGGGGAGGUGGCAUAAUAAGUAGCGAGUGAAAUGCUGUGGCUCAACCAUUCAGACUAUUAGCUAAACUGUUAAGAUCGAGACCGUUAGGGGCAUCUGGAAUUUCUAGUGUAGGAGUGAAAUCCGUAGAUAUUAGAAGGAACACCAAUAGCGUAGGCAGGAUGCUGGGACGGUUCUGACACUAAGGCACGAAAGCGUAGGGAGCAAACGGGAUUAGAUACCCCAGUAGUC